GUGGAGAUGGCCCAGCCUGGUAAGGCGUAGGACUGCUAAUCCUAUGUCGCUAUGCGACCCGAGGGUUCGAAUCCCCCUCUCCACGCCA
Molecule: transfer RNA, 88 nt
Filed under: Thermoplasmata archaeon
Lineage: Archaea; Methanobacteriati; Thermoplasmatota; Thermoplasmata
Also listed under: 1 other name
Description: tRNA-Ser
Rfam family: tRNA
About the family: Transfer RNA (tRNA) molecules are approximately 80 nucleotides in length. Their secondary structure includes four short double-helical elements and three loops (D, anti-codon, and T loops).
Source: RNAcentral